This 64-nucleotide transfer RNA is filed under the name Cavia porcellus (domestic guinea pig). It matches the Rfam family "tRNA", at positions 1 to 62 of the family's 71-position model. Rfam says of the family: Transfer RNA (tRNA) molecules are approximately 80 nucleotides in length. Their secondary structure includes four short double-helical elements and three loops (D, anti-codon, and T loops). Further hydrogen bonds mediate the characteristic L-shaped molecular structure. tRNAs have two regions of fundamental functional importance: the anti-codon, which is responsible for specific mRNA codon recognition, and the 3' end, to which the tRNAs corresponding amino acid is attached (by aminoacyl-tRNA synthetases). tRNAs cope with the degeneracy of the genetic code in two manners: having more than one tRNA (with a specific anti-codon) for a particular amino acid; and 'wobble' base-pairing, i.e. permitting non-standard base-pairing at the 3rd anti-codon position. The record is from Rfam by way of RNAcentral. Lineage: Eukaryota; Metazoa; Chordata; Mammalia; Rodentia; Caviidae.
GGGGAUUUAGCUCAGUAGCAUAAGCACCUGCCUUGCAAGCAGGAGGUCAUGAGUUCAAUCCCCA